This is a long non-coding RNA of Carassius auratus (goldfish), 887 nucleotides long. RefSeq lists it as uncharacterized. The transcript is spliced from 4 exons. NCBI's taxonomy places the organism in Eukaryota, Metazoa, Chordata, Actinopteri, Cypriniformes, Cyprinidae. The record is from RefSeq and is a predicted model, not a curated record.
AUAAUAAGCUUUAAAUAAUCUUUCAGUGCGCAAAACCAUGAUAAUAUGAAACGCUUCAAAACUGAGCUCACAAAGUGAUUUUAAGCAUUCAUAGUCACAAGCGAGUCUUUUAAAAACAACAACAAACAUAAAAUACAAAUACACAAAGUAAAAGUAAUUUUAUGCAUAUAAUAUUGGAGAGAGUUUAACCAUGCAUCCUGCUGUAAAUGGACGAGGUGAGCGCUAUUUUAAUUUUAAUUAGUUCCGCUUUUGGCGCUCCCUAGGCCUCCGUGUAGAUCCGCCACUGCCAACAAAGGUAAGCCAUCGACCAGAUUGAUUCACUGAUUCACUUCGGGAGGCCUUUAUUCACCCCCUGGAGCCAUUUGAGGCACUUUUUAUGAUGGAUGGAUGCACUUUUUUGUUCUUUUGGACUGUUAAAAAAAACAUCCAUUGAUCGCCAUCAUAAAGCUUGGAUGUUUUUAAAUAUAACUCCGAUUGGAUAUGUCUGAAUGAAGAAAGUCAUAUACACCUGGGAUGCUUCGAGGAAGGAGUGAAGACAGGUGAAGAGCGCCACCGUGUGGACAUUUGAAGAACUACAAAAACAAGACAAAACACUUACAGCAGCAGCGGAGUGAUUCUGGUGUAAACACCGGGUUUAUUGACUCGUCCACAUCCUUCACCCCAACUCACCACACCAGCCAACCGCCAGCCCCCCGCUUCAGCCCGACACACCAGAGGACCCCCGCUGUCUCCCUGAACAGAAACGCUGAGGUCGCUGAGGACACAGGAGUCUCUCUCAGGAGGGUUCAACAGAUGUGGCAUGAGUGCUGACAGCGUGUACGGGGCCAGUUCAGAGACCCCCAGCAGCUGGACACAACCAGAGACCUGUGGAUGCGCAGUCUCGUCCA